AUUGAACGCUGGCGGCAGGCUUAACACAUGCAAGUCGAGCGGGGGAAGGUAGCUUGCUACCGGACCUAGCGGCGGACGGGUGAGUUAUGCUUAGGAAUCUGCCUAUUAGUGGGGGACAACAUCUCGAAAGGGAUGCUAAUACCGCAUACGUCCUACGGGAGAAAGCAGGGGAUCUUCGGACCUUGCGCUAAUAGAUGAGCCUAAGUCGGAUUUGCUAGUUGGUGGGGUAAAGGCCUACCAAGGCGACGAUCUGUAGCGGGUCUGAGAGGAUGAUCCGCCACACUGGGACUGAGACACGGCCCAGACUCCUACGGGAGGCAGCAGUGGGGAAUAUUGGACAAUGGGGGGAACCCUGAUCCAGCCAUGCCGCGUGUGUGAAGAAGGCCUUAUGGUUGUAAAGCACUUUAAGCGAGGAGGAGGCUACUUUAGUUAAUACCUAGAGAUAGUGGACGUUACUCGCAGAAUAAGCACCGGCUAACUCUGUGCCAGCCGCCGCAGUAA
Molecule: ribosomal RNA, 501 nt
Filed under: uncultured bacterium
Lineage: Bacteria
Description: partial 16S ribosomal RNA
Rfam family: Bacterial small subunit ribosomal RNA
Source: RNAcentral